UACGUAGGGUGCGAGCGUUAAUCGGAAUUACUGGGCGUAAAGCGUGCGCAGGCGGUUUUUUAAAGCAGAUGUGAACUCCCCGGGCUUAACCUGGGGACUGCAUUUGGAACUGGAAGACUAGAGUACGGCAGAGGGGGGUAGAAUUCCACGUGUAGCAGUGAAAUGCGUAGAUAUGUGAAGGAAUACCGAUGGCGAAGGCAGCCCCCUGGGUCGAUACUGACGCUCAUGCACGAAAGCGUGGGGAGCAAACAGG
This 253-nucleotide ribosomal RNA is filed under the name uncultured bacterium. RNAcentral describes it as "partial 16S ribosomal RNA". It matches the Rfam family "Bacterial small subunit ribosomal RNA", at positions 524 to 776 of the family's 1533-position model. The record is from RNAcentral.